This 71-nucleotide transfer RNA is filed under the name Ovis aries (sheep). It matches the Rfam family "tRNA". Rfam says of the family: Transfer RNA (tRNA) molecules are approximately 80 nucleotides in length. Their secondary structure includes four short double-helical elements and three loops (D, anti-codon, and T loops). The record is from Rfam by way of RNAcentral. Lineage: Eukaryota; Metazoa; Chordata; Mammalia; Artiodactyla; Bovidae.
GCUCAGCGGUUAAAAAAAAAAAAAAUCUGCCUGCUAAGCAGUAGAUGCAGGUUCAAUUCCUGUGUCAAGCA